AUUGAACGCUGGCGGCAGGCUUAACACAUGCAAGUCGAGCGGGGGAAGGUAGCUUGCUACCGGACCUAGCGGCGGACGGGUGAGUAAUGCUUAGGAAUCUGCCUAUUAGUGGGGGACAACAUCUCGAAAGGGAUGCUAAUACCGCAUACGUCCUACGGGAGAAAGCGGGGGAUCUUCGGACCUUGCGCUAAUAGAUGAGCCUAAGUCGGAUUAGCUAGAUGGUGGGGUAAAGGCCUACCAAGGCGACGAUCUGUAGCGGGUCUGAGAGGAUGAUCCGCCACACUGGGACUGAGACACGGCCCAGACUCCUACGGGAGGAAGCAGUGGGGAAUAUUGGACAAUGGGGGGAACCCUGAUCCAGCCAUGCCGCGUGUGUGAAGAAGGCCUUAUGGUUGUAAAGCACUUUAAGCGAGGAGGAGGCUACUCUAGUUAAUACCUAGGGAUAGUGGACGUUACUCGCAGAAUAAGCACCGGCUAACUCUGUGCCAGCCGCCGCCGUAA
RNAcentral lists this ribosomal RNA (501 nucleotides) under uncultured bacterium. RNAcentral describes it as "partial 16S ribosomal RNA". It matches the Rfam family "Bacterial small subunit ribosomal RNA", at positions 30 to 523 of the family's 1533-position model. The record is from RNAcentral.